Molecule: microRNA, 21 nt
Filed under: Populus trichocarpa (black cottonwood)
Lineage: Eukaryota; Viridiplantae; Streptophyta; Magnoliopsida; Malpighiales; Salicaceae
Description: ptc-miR6451
Source: miRBase by way of RNAcentral
AUGUCAGAUCAUGUUAGGUAU